AAGGAUUCCCCUAGUAACUGCGAGUGAAGCGGGAAAAGCUCAAAUUUGAAAUCUGGCAGUCUUUUUUUUCUUCUUUGGCUGUCCGAGUUGUAAUCUAGAGAAGUGCUUACCUGCACUGGACCAUGUAUAAGUCUCCUGGAAUGGAGCCUCACAGAGGGUGAGAAUCCCGUCUUUGACAUGGACUGCCAGUGCGUUGUGGUGCGCUCUCAAAGAGUCGAGUUGUUUGGGAAUGCAGCUCUAAACGGGUGGUAAACUCCAUCUAAAGCUAAAUAUUGGCGAGAGACCGAUAGCGAACAAGUACCGUGAGGGAAAGAUGAAAAGGACUUUGGAAAGAGAGUUAAACAGUAUGUGAAAUUGUUGAAAGGGAAACGCUUGAAGUCAGUUAUGUCGGCUGGGGAUCAACCUAGCCAUUUUUUUUGGCUGGGUGAAUUUCCUAGUCUGACAGGCCAACAUCAGUCUUGACUGCCGGAAAAGAGUGGAGGGAAUGUGGCACCUUUGGGUGUGUUAUAGCCCUCCGUCAUAUGCGGCAGUCGGGACUGAGGGAUGCAGUGUGCCGCGAGGCUGGGUUUUGACCACGUUCACACUUAGGAUGUUGGCUUUUAAUGGCUCCAAUCGACCCGUCUUGAAACACGGACCAAGGAGUCUAACAUGCCUGCAAGUAUUUGGGUGGAAAACCCUUGUGCACAAUGAAAGUGAAAGUUGAGAUCCCUGUCAUGGGGAGCAUCGACGCCCGGACUUGAGCUUUUAGCAAUGGAUCCGCGGUAGAGCAUGCAUGUUGGGACCCGAAAGAUGGUGAACUAUGCCUGAAUAGGGCAAAGCCAGAGGAAACUCUGGUGGAGGCUCGUAGCGAUUCUGACGUGCAAAUCGAUCGUCAAAUUUGGGU
This 883-nucleotide ribosomal RNA is filed under the name Amanita submembranacea. RNAcentral describes it as "eukaryotic LSU rRNA". It matches the Rfam family "Eukaryotic large subunit ribosomal RNA", at positions 70 to 916 of the family's 3401-position model. The record is from RNAcentral. Lineage: Eukaryota; Fungi; Basidiomycota; Agaricomycetes; Agaricales; Amanitaceae.